Molecule: ribosomal RNA, 464 nt
Filed under: Alloprevotella sp. oral taxon 473
Lineage: Bacteria; Pseudomonadati; Bacteroidota; Bacteroidia; Bacteroidales; Prevotellaceae
Description: bacterial SSU rRNA
Rfam family: Bacterial small subunit ribosomal RNA
Source: RNAcentral
GAUGAACGCUAGCUACAGGCUUAACACAUGCAAGUCGAGGGGCAGCAUGGAAGAAGCUUGCUUCUUCUGAUGGCGACCGGCGCACGGGUGCGUAACGCGUAUCAAACCUGCCUCAUACUCGGGGAUAGCCUUGCGAAAGUAAGAUUAAUACCCGAUGUUGUUAUGUUACCGCAUGGUGAUAUAACCAAAGAUUUAUCGGUAUGAGAUGGUGAUGCGUCCGAUUAGGUAGUAGGCGGGGUAACGGCCCACCUAGCCUUCGAUCGGUAGGGGUUCUGAGAGGAAGGUCCCCCACACUGGAACUGAGACACGGUCCAGACUCCUACGGGAGGCAGCAGUGAGGAAUAUUGGUCAAUGGACGCAAGUCUGAACCAGCCAAGUAGCGUGCAGGAUGACGGCCCUCCGGGUUGUAAACUGCUUUUAGUUGGGAAUAAAAAAGAGGACGUGUCCUCUAUUGUAUGACCUCA